This 433-nucleotide ribosomal RNA is filed under the name uncultured bacterium. Its description in RNAcentral is "bacterial SSU rRNA". It matches the Rfam family "Bacterial small subunit ribosomal RNA", at positions 29 to 507 of the family's 1533-position model. The record is from RNAcentral.
AACGAACGCUGGCGGCAGGCCUAACACAUGCAAGUCGAGCGGGGGAGCAAUCCCUAGCGGCGGACGGGUUAGUAACGCGUGGGAACGUGCCCAAAGGUACGGAAUAGCCUCGGGAAACUGAGAGUAAUACCGUAUGUGCCCCUCGGGGGAAAGAUUUAUCGCCUUUGGAUCGGCCCGCGUUGGAUUAGGUAGUUGGUGGGGUAAUGGCCCACCAAGCCGACGAUCCAUAGCUGGUUUGAGAGGAUGAUCAGCAACACUGGGACUGAGACACGGCCCAGACUCCUACGGGAGGCAGCAGUGGGGAAUCUUAGACAAUGGGGGAAACCCUGAUCUAGCCAUGCCGCGUGAGCGAUGAAGGCCUUAGGGUUGUAAAGCUCUUUCAGAUGGGAAGAUAAUGACGGUACCAUCAGAAGAAGCCCCGGCUAACUCCGUG